This 253-nucleotide ribosomal RNA is filed under the name uncultured bacterium. RNAcentral describes it as "partial 16S ribosomal RNA". It matches the Rfam family "Bacterial small subunit ribosomal RNA", at positions 524 to 776 of the family's 1533-position model. The record is from RNAcentral.
UACAGAGGGUGCGAGCGUUAAUCGGAAUUACUGGGCGUAAAGCGUGCGUAGACGGUUAUUUAAGUCGGGUGUGAAAGCCCCGGGCUCAACCUGGGAAUUGCAUUCUAGACUGAAUAGCUAGGGUACGGUAGAGGGAAGUGGAAUUUCCGGUGUAGCGGUGAAAUGCGUAGAUAUCGGAAGGAACAUCAGUGGCGAAAGCGACUUCCUGGACCAGUACCGACGUUCAGGCACGAAAGCGUGGGGAGCAAACAGG